UGUCCUUUUGAUUUUAAUUUAAGGUCUGAUCUGCCCACUGAGGAAUUAAAUGGCCGCGGUAUUUUGACCGUGCAAAGGUAGCAUAAUCAUUAGUUUUUUAAUUGAAAGCUGGAAUGAAGGAUUUGAUGAGAAAAUAACUGUCUCAAUUUAAUUUAUUUAGAAUUUUAUUUUUAAGUUAAAAAGCUUAAAUAUUAUUAAAAGACGAGAAGACCCUAUAGAGUUUAAUAUUUAAAAUUUAUAAAAUUAAUUGUUUUUAAUAUUUUAUAUUUUAAUAAAUAUUUUAUUGGGGUGAUAAAAAAAUUAAAUAAACUUUUUUUAUAUAAUAAUACUAAUUAGUAGUUUUUUGAUCCAAAUUUUUUGAUUAUAAGAUAAAAUUACCUUAGGGAUAACAGCGUAAUUUUUUUUAAGAGUUCUUAUCGAAAAAAGAGAUUGCGACCUCGAUGUUGGAUUAAAGUUAAGUUUUGGUGUAGAAGCUAGAAUUUUAGGUCUGUUCGACCUUUAAAACUUU
Molecule: ribosomal RNA, 508 nt
Filed under: Monophylla terminata
Lineage: Eukaryota; Metazoa; Arthropoda; Insecta; Coleoptera; Cleridae
Description: partial 16S ribosomal RNA
Rfam family: Bacterial large subunit ribosomal RNA (bases 385-508)
Source: RNAcentral